This 497-nucleotide ribosomal RNA is filed under the name uncultured bacterium. RNAcentral describes it as "partial 16S ribosomal RNA". It matches the Rfam family "Bacterial small subunit ribosomal RNA", at positions 28 to 507 of the family's 1533-position model. The record is from RNAcentral.
GAUGAACGCUGGCGGCGUGCCUAAUACAUGCAAGUCGAGCGAACAGACGAGGAGCUUGCUCCUCUGACGUUAGCGGCGGACGGGUGAGUAACACGUGGAUAACCUACCUAUAAGACUGGGAUAACUUCGGGAAACCGGAGCUAAUACCAGAUAAUAUAUUGAACCGCAUGGUUCAAUAGUGAAAGACGGUUUUGCUGUCACUUAUAGAUGGAUCCGCGCCGCAUUAGCUAGUUGGUAAGGUAACGGCUUACCAAGGCAACGAUGCGUAGCCGACCUGAGAGGGUGAUCGGCCACACUGGAACUGAGACACGGUCCAGACUCCUACGGGAGGCAGCAGUAGGGAAUCUUCCGCAAAGGGCGAAAGCUUGACGGAGCAACGCCGCGUGAGUGAUGAAGGUCUUCGGAUCGUAAAACUCUGUUAUUAGGGAAGAACAAAUGUGUAAGUAACUAUGCACGUCUUGACGGUACCUAAUCAGAAAGCCACGGCUAACUACGUG